UCAAAAAUGGAUUUGAAAUGUAUCCUUUAAUGCUACAUUUAUAUUUGGUCAAAUAAAAGAUUUUAUGAAUGUGUUGGAAAUCUCCUGAGUUUAAUGCCAUCUUAGAGACAUGCCAAACAUGAUUUCAUUUUUGUUUUGUGAUGAUUUUAAAGAGAGAAAAUCUCACUUUUGUGCCUCAUAAUUUCUGUAACCUUUUUCUCUUCUUUUUAGAGAAUUUGACUUGAACCUGAGUGCUGAAGUCAAAAGAGUUUAUUUUAAUAUUAUAGCUUAUAGUCUCUGCAUUUUUUCCCCUUGUGGUUCAAGUCAUACAUGGAAGGGAAACAUGAAGGACUUGCUUCACAUUGUUUUGGUCAAUAGUGGUAAUGAUGUUAAUAAUAUUAAUCUUGCAUGUUUAUGGCAUUUUAUAGUUUUCAAAGUAUUCUUAUAUAUAUAAGAAUAUAUAUUCUUAUAUAUUAUUGCCACACCCAGC
RNAcentral lists this long non-coding RNA (469 nucleotides) under Dasypus novemcinctus (nine-banded armadillo). RNAcentral describes it as "lncRNA (ENSDNOG00000051778.1)". Lineage: Eukaryota; Metazoa; Chordata; Mammalia; Cingulata; Dasypodidae. The record is from RNAcentral.